AAUACAUGCAAGUCGAGCGGACCGACGGGAGCUUGCUCCCUUAUGUCAGCGGCGGACGGGUGAGUAACACGUGGGUAACCUGCCUGUAAGACUGGGAUAACCCCGGGAAACCGGGGCUAAUACCGGAUGCUUGAUUGAACCGCAUGGUUCCAAUCAUAAAAGGUGGCUUUUAGCUACCACUUACAGAUGGACCCGCGGCGCAUUAGCUAGUUGGUGAGGUAACGGCUCACCAAGGCGACGAUGCGUAGCCGACCUGAGAGGGUGAUCGGCCACACUGGGACUGAGACACGGCCCAGACUCCUACGGGAGGCAGCAGUAGGGAAUCUUCCGCAAUGGACGAAAGUCUGACGGAGCAACGCCGCGUGAGUGAUGAAGGUUUUCGGAUCGUAAAACUCUGUUGUUAGGGAAGAACAAGUACCGUUCGAAUAGGGCGGCACCUUGACGGUACCUAACCAGAAAGCCACGGCUAACUACGUGCCAGCAGCCGCGGUAAUACGUAGGUGGCAAGCGUUGUCCGGAAUUAUUGGGCGUAAAGCGCGCGCAGGCGGUUUCUUAAGUCUGAUGUGAAAGCCCCCGGCUCAACCGGGGAGGGUCAUUGGAAACUGGGGAACUUGAG
This 616-nucleotide ribosomal RNA is filed under the name uncultured Bacilli bacterium. RNAcentral describes it as "bacterial SSU rRNA". It matches the Rfam family "Bacterial small subunit ribosomal RNA", at positions 50 to 646 of the family's 1533-position model. The record is from RNAcentral. Lineage: Bacteria; Bacillati; Bacillota; Bacilli.